Molecule: ribosomal RNA, 185 nt
Filed under: uncultured bacterium
Lineage: Bacteria
Description: partial 16S ribosomal RNA
Rfam family: Bacterial small subunit ribosomal RNA
Source: RNAcentral
CUACAUGAAGUUGGAAUUGCUAGUAAUCGCAGAUCAGAAUGCUGCGGUGAAUACGUUCCCGGGCCUUGUACACACCGCCCGUCACACCAUGGGAGCCGGUAAUACCCGAAGUCAGUAGUCUAACCGCAAGGGGGACGCUGCCGAAGGUAGGAUUGGCGACUGGGGUGAAGUCGUAACAAGGUAUC